CUUUGGGCGAAGUACUGCUCAAGGCGGAAGGAG
This 33-nucleotide non-coding RNA is filed under the name unclassified sequences. The record is from RNAcentral.